Molecule: long non-coding RNA, 1001 nt
Organism: Canis lupus familiaris (dog)
Lineage: Eukaryota; Metazoa; Chordata; Mammalia; Carnivora; Canidae
Exons: 2
Source: RefSeq, a predicted model, not a curated record
AGCUCAGGGCCCUCUGGGUUCACGAGGGCGGGGUGCCUCCUACUGUGCCUGCGGCUGUGGGCGAGGCGAGGCGAGGCGGGCCCGACCUCCCGCCGACUUUUCAUAUACCUGUCCCGGCCGCGGGCCCAGCGCCGGUGCCCGCUCCUCCCGCGCCCGAGGUCAAGGCGUCCCCGGCUCAGCUCUCCUAGCCCCGUCCCCGCCCCGUGGGAAGCGUAGGUCCAAGCAGCGGCGGUCAGGUGAAGAGUGGAGGGGCACCCCUUUCUGAGGAUUGCACUCCCCUCUCUUGUAGAGUGUCUUUCCGUUCCUCAAGCGGAGACUUGCUAGCCAGGUGCAUCUACGAUUGCCAGGCCUGGAGACUGUAGAAGAGAUUAGUACCGCGUUCCAUUUUAAGAGGAUCCUGCGGAACAUAUAGCCAAGAAUGCCAGGGGGACUUUCCUGGCCCAGACGUAGUAAAUAGUAAUGGUGACAGUAAUCUCUCAUCUUUGCAAGAUUGCAAAACUGUUUAAAUUCCUCGUCAUGUCAUUCGAUUCAUAUUAUCAUCUGGUCAGAUGAUAAUUUUCAUUCGAUAAGUGAGGAAACUGCUAGAAAGUAGGUGAAAGUUUGUGCUCUCCUGAGUGUCCCCGAAGUGCUGUGGCCUGAACAUCUGCCCCGCUUACCCUUUUUUUUUUUUCUUAUGUCAGCCUGUCUUCUGUGAACCAGAAUGUGAUCCUUGAGCUGACCUUUGUAUCUGUGAAAGUACCAGUAUGGAGUAUUUUGAGCUCAGUUAGUUGCUUUUCAAUUACUACCUGGGAGGAUAAAGAGACUCAGCGGUUUGACCUUGACUCUUCUGUUAUGGACCAUCUAGAAAAUUGACUGUGCUUGCCAGAUGGUUUUCUUCACUCCUAACUUGACAACAGUAGGAAGGUGUUACAUGCAAGGUUUCAAUGUCAAGCAUGUAUUUUGUUAAUAAAAAUAAAGCAAGCCAAUAAAGUAGACAUUCUCUGACAACCUUUUACAUUUAA